GCAACUUACUUUGGAGGAAGCGGAAGAGAAGAUGAGGAACAGGAGAAAGACUGCAGAUGGAUACCAAAGAUGGAUGAUGAAAGCUGCAAAUAAUGGAGCUGCUGCAUUUGGUGAGGUGGAAAAGUUUGAANAGUUUGAUGAUAAAGAAAGUGGAACAUCUGGUGGAAGAGGACGUAAAAAAACAGGUGGUGAUGAUGAAGAAGGCAAUGUGUCCGACAGGGGAGAAGAAGAUGAAGAGGAGGAGGCAGCAAGGAAAAAUAG
This 261-nucleotide unclassified non-coding RNA is filed under the name Hevea brasiliensis (rubber tree). Lineage: Eukaryota; Viridiplantae; Streptophyta; Magnoliopsida; Malpighiales; Euphorbiaceae. The record is from RNAcentral.